CGGGGGAGAGGAAGCAGAGGGAGGAAAGCCGACCCUGCUUGCGGGGCCGCUCGCGUCACGCCCCCCCGCCCCGGUUCGGGCAGCCACAUCAUGGCGGCGGCCGGCUGUUUCCCCGGCCCCGGGCCUCGUCCUGAUCGGCGAGGCUGGGAAGGGACCCUCUCUCAUUUCAAAAUAUCCUGUUAGCCCCGUUUUCUCCUAUCCAGGCCUCUUUGCUCUUGCCCCCACCUACCAGCUCUCCCCGCUCCCCGCCAGGCGGGGUUGUCUAGAGGUGGGUCACUGCCCUGGCCCGGGGGCUUUCUUGGUCCCAGGCUGUGGGCUUUGCCUCCUGGACAACGGGGAAGGCUUGGGGGUGGGGAAAGCUUCGCCCUGGACCUCUAGCCCUCAGGGUAUGGUGUGGAGACUUCAGGCCUGGUUGGGAUAGGUCCUUUAUCUUGCUUGGUUUCUUUUCAUUUCUAAUGAACCUGGAAUUGUUGGAGUGGGUGGUAGGUGUAACAAGUGGCCUUUGUGGUCAUGCUGAAGGUACCCAAGAGGAGACUCAUCCUUUGCUUUUUUAACACUAGUGAGAGUAGAUCACUGUAUAACUUCUUGUGAUUCUUUUUCUCUGUUGCCUUUUCCAUUAUACUUCACUUUUGGUGGGCCACUUACUCCAUUUGGUUUAAGUAAUUAAGAAAUUUCCCCUAAAGAAGAAAACAACCCAGAUUUAUAUUCUGUUGAUCUUUUUUUUUUUAACUUUCCUGACAGGUAAAAUGACUUAAUAACAUAGUUGAUUUCCUUAAAAGACAUAUAUGAUAACUUUAGUGUCUUAGUGCACUAGGAAAAUCUUAAGACUUAAAUUGAGUAGAUCAGAUAUAACAGUGGCAGCAGGAAAUAAAGUUUAAGAAUUUGGCUAGUCCCCUUCCUUAUGAGUUUUAGUGAUUAUGCGAUAAGAGUGGAGAGAAAAACAGUUCAUUUGUGCCACCCACCCACCCUAAAAUCUGGAAGUAUAGGUGGCAAACUUGAGUUUUUCAUGACACCAGAAAACAAAAUAAUUCAUAGUGGCCUGAAUAAUGCAUCAGACAUAACCUGAAGUUAUACUUUGUUUUCACGUUUUCUGUGCUACCAUGGAGGCCAUGUAGUGCCUACAGGUUUCCGAACCUGCAAAACCGGGUUCAUGGUCUGUAACCUUGGGCAAAUCGCUUCGAAGGGUCCCAGUUUCCUCAGGUACAGGGUAAAAAUAAUGAUAAAUACCUACCUUAGAAUGUUGUGAGGAUUAAGGACUAAGGGCUUAGAUGGCAUGUGUUUAGAUCAGUGUAUUUUUGAUAAUCAAAGCAGAUGUUCUGGCAUUAAGAGUUAGAUAAACUUCCUUAAGAUGUUCUGGCGUUAAGAGUUAGAUAAACUUCCUUAAGAGAGAGAUUCUGUUUCAAAAGUGAUUUGCUUUAAUAAUUUUUCUUUCUUAGCUAUUCAUUUGACCAUUAAGGACUCAGAUAUUUAUUUUGGACUUAUUUUGCUAUUUACUUACUCUUUGCUUUUACUUACCAAAGGUACAAUAAAAUAAUGACUUUUUCCAGAUCUAGGUUCAUUGGUUGUUUUUUAAUAUAUUGUAUAAAGACUAGGAUAUCAACUUAAAUAGUUUUUAAAAGUCCAAAAGGAGUCUCUACAAACUACCUCUUCAUUCUAAGCCAGAGGACAGCAGGAAAAAUUCUAAGAAACAUCUUGUUAUCUUAAAGGCUUAAUUUUACAAUAUCCAGAAAUUUAAAGGGGCUGUACAUAUUUUAGAAGACAAAAAUCAAGGCGAUAUUCCUGCUGUUCUUCCAUACUCGUUUGUCUUUAUUACCUUAUGCUAUUAAUUUUCAAGCCCUUUAGAUUAAAUUUGCCAUAUAAGUACUUAUCAAGUUAUUUAAUGAAAGCUAAUGUUGAAAAAUAAUUUCUGUCUUCCUUUUUACUACCCAGUUUAGAAUGGAGACUUGAACCAUCAAGAACAUUUAAGAAUGUUGCCACUAAAGCUUUUGUGGGUGGCUGACACAUGAUAUUAAGAUCAGAACAUGAGGUUAUAUUACUAAUGAAUACUCAGGAUUUAAUUUUCAUCUUUCACUGGCAGGAAGAGAAGAAAUUGUUCCUAAAAAAUGAAAGCAUCCUACAGAAUUAUGUACCUGUGGGACUGUGUCCAGUUAGACUGUGCAUCUUAAAAUGCCAUGAUGGAGGUGAAGCAGAUCCAUAGAAUGGCUACUCUCAUUCUCGGGGGUAUAACAGGAGUGGGGAACUUGCAAAUGAGGGAACACCGAAUUGACUGAGGACUGCUCUGGGAGCUUGGAGUAACAGAAUGAAGGUUUAUGUGAUAGAAAAGACGCUGGUUAGGGAGUUCGGAGACUUGGAUUCAAAUUCUGACACUACCUUAGACACAGCUAUGUAUGGUUUGAGGCAGAAUCAACAUGAGUCUCCAUACCUUAGGUUCCUUAUCUAUAAAGUAAGGAGAUUGGGCUGGAAUAAGACUUUUCAACUUCAGUGGUUAUUUGGAGAAAAGAGUUUCCAUCAGGGAAAAAUAAAUUAGAACUAGUAUUUCACAGUAGCAGAUAAAUUUUGGAAAGUCAUUCCCCUUCAGAGAUAAUUUAGGCUGAAAAGAGAAAUUAAAAAAAAAAUUAUUGAGGUAGUAAUCAAUAAAUGUUAUAUUUAAAUGCUUUGUCCAAUAUAUAAGUACAACCCAUGACUCAGGAAAACUAGAACUUCUAGUGUAUAUCCUACCCAGUGAUUUUUUACUUCGAAAGAUAAUUAUACUGUUCUAAAUGUGUUCGCUGGAGGAGCUACUGUUAGAUACAGCAUGGUGGCUGUUUUUUUUUUUUUUUUUAAUGUGUUUUAGCUGACAGUUUACACAGCAAAUUAGAUCCCCAUUCAACAGUUCAUGCACAAAUAUUUCUGUGACAUUGGUUACAGUUUGUAAGUAUGAUGAUAUGUUUAAAACCUUGGUUUUGAGACCUAGAAGAGUUUUCUGGGGGCGAGGGGUAAUUUUCCACACUUAUUGCACCUCCUGGUGGUGUGAAAUGGAUCUGUGUCACAGAACAUUGUGGAACUGAGGGAGAGCAGACAAAAACACAGGCCAGCUGGAGCUGGAAGUGUCAGUUUCCUUCCAUUCCUGGGCGAGUGGCAGAAGCAGCAGCUGUGUUGGGAAAGGAUAAGCGGCACCACUGCCACCAACUAGGACUGGCUUGACCACUGUCAUCCUGUGAACUCCCUUCCUCUAUUUGAGGCUGUAAUAAAAUGAGAUACUUUUAUAUUUUGUCAUUCUGUGGAUGGUAUAGAAUGACAAAAUAGUUGGUAUGCCCUGGUGGCGCAAUGGUUAAGAGCUUGGCUGCUAACCAGAAGGUCGGCAGUUUGAAUCCACCAGCUGCACCCUGGAAACCCUGUGUGGUAGUUCUGCUCUGUCCUGUAGGGUUGCUGUGAGUCAGAAUUGACUCGACAGGUUUGGUUCUGGUUUUUGGUAUAGAUGGUAUAAACUUCAAAGUUGCUUGAGUUCUGUUAAAUUAUCUCUCCAAAUUUGGGAAAUCUGGUGGCGAUGACACAGCAAAUCGGAACUACUCAUUGUUAUCCUUUCUCUUUCAUUGCAGGAAGUCGUAUUAAUAAGUGGCCUUUAUUCUUUUUCUGAUAGUGUUUCAAACAACUCUGGCCGAGGUCUUAAGGCAGCUGCUAUAGAUAGCCCAUGUUAAGUUGUUUCUCUUAAGCGUAGGUUGCAUUUUUUUCCCCAUAAGCUGAUUUUUGUAGGUGUUUAUUUGCUAGUUUUUCAUUCCUAAAUGAUUAGAUAAUGUAAUGAAGCUGUAACAACUUCUGUUCUAGUCCAACUGACCCCAGAGAAGAACCUUUGGCUUUUUAAGUAGCCAUUCGGUCAUUUCGACAGAUAAUACAUUUAAUAUUUAUUGGUUUCGUGCUAGCUAUAUUCUCAGAAUUUGAAAAGUGCAAUACCUGCCUUCAAGAAACUUGUCACUACAGAUAUGUAAUAAAGCCACACUUGAAUUUAUCAAUGGUUUUGCUUUUUUUUCAGUCCUCAGAUGUUUUUCCCCCUUGUUUUCCCUAUCUUACCAGUAAAUCUCUGUUUAGUUUCUUUCCUAGAACUUGAAAGCAAAGAUGAUUAAGUCAGAUUUCUAGUCUUCCCAUAUCAACUUUUCUUUGAACCAGUUGUGGGUAAUUGUUAUUGCUGAAACAAUGAAUUAAUUUUCCUCUCCUAGUAACUGGACACAAGUAAAUAUUAGGAAUUUAAUUCCACGGAAAGGUUAAUUUAUCUUCUACCAGCAUUUCUUCGGGGUGAUUUUCUGUAAUUUAGUCUGCUUAUCACUACUGUCAAGGUGCUUUUAAAAAGCACUUGGUGCCUCUUAAGCUUUCCUGUGCCCUUUAGUGUUAGCUUAUGAGUAGUUUUUUCAUCUGUUUACUGAUUUGUCCACUAAAAGUACUUGGCCUUUUUUAAGUGCUACUUACCAGUACUCCUGGUUUUUAUCAGGGUGGCUCCUCAUAUGAAUCUUCUAAGUCUUUUUUCUGUACUCUUGUAUUAUUUACCUAUUUAUUUGCAACGUUUAAUACUUCCUUUAAGAAAAAAGAAGAGUAUAGGCAAUUUAAUAACUUUUUUCAGUCUUGUAAAAGCUAUGUUGCUUUACCUUUCAUAGUUAGAUCUAUUAUCUACCUGGAAUUUAAUUUUUUAGCUUUUAUUAUGGAGAUUUUCAAAUAUAUCAGAAAUACAGGGACUAUUAUAAUGGACCCCUGUGUACACAUGACCCAGCUUCAACAAUUACCAACUUAUGACCACUCUCGCUUCAUCUGCACCCUCCAGCCACUACUCUCCGUAUUAUUUUGAUGCAAAACCCAGGCACCUUAUCAUUUAAUCUAUAAAUAUAUCGAUCUUUUAAAGGUAAGAGUAAUCUUUUUCCUUACCAUAACCAGGGUACCAUUAUCACUCCUUUAAAAAAAAAAAAAAAGAUGAUGCCUUAAUAUCAUCAAAUGUUCAGGCUUAUUCACAUUUCUUAAUUGCUUCAUAAUUCCUUUUUGAUGUUACUGACUGGUGAGUAUAGCUCUUAAUCUGUAGAUUUACUCUCUCCCCCUUCCUCCCUGCCUCGCAGUUUAUUUAUUGAAGGAACUGGGUGGUUUCUCCUGUAGCAUUUCCCUCAGUCUGAAUUCUGCUGAUUGCAUACCCAUGGUGCUAUUUACAUGUUCUUCUAUCCUCUGUAUUUCCUAUAAAUUGGUAAUUAGAUUGAGGAAAUUCAAGCUCGACUUUUGGGGAGCAAGACUACGCCAUUGAUUGAAAGUGCAUUUUUAAUACUUCCGAUGGCUCUUGUGUACAGAGAGUUAAAUCUUUUGUCUCAGCUACACAGUUACUUUACCUUCUGAAACAACAUAUUUAACUCUUAAUUCUUUGUGUUUUUUUAAAGUGUCACUUCAUAUGCACUUUCCUUGUUUAGCGUAAUUGUGUGUUUGGCCGUCUGUUUUUCUAGUAAUUUGCCAGCUAAGCGUGCUCUCCCACUGUACAUAGGCAUUUCCAGAUGGUGUUAAAUCUGGGAAGCCAUCAGUGCUUCAGAGCUCAGAACUGGAUCCGAAUUCUGGUUCACUACUGAGAAACUGAGUGGUCUUGAGCAUUAGAGCAGUAUCUCUAAAUUUUCCUUUCUGUAAAGUGAAGGUAAUAUUUAUUUCACAGGGUUAUUUUAAGGAUUAAAUGCAUGUAAAACAUGUAAAAGAGUACCUGACCCGCAAUAAACUCUUAAAACGUUUAUUAUUAUUACUAUUAUGCAUAAAAAUAAUACAUAGCAUUUAGAAAAACCAAAGGAAUGUAGUAUUUGAGAGAAGUGAGAUAUUAGACUAAAUUAUUUACAAGCAUGUAAGAAUGGUAUCCUAAUCCAUGAAUCAUUAUUUUCCACUGGGCACUCUCUUCUGCAACUUCAGCUGAAUAGACAUUUUAGAAAGCUCAUUUAAAUAUCUCUGUCAUGUGUGCUUUGUGUUAUUUUUACCAAGUCAUAAAUGUUUUUUUGUUAAUAUUUUAAAGCAUAUUACAGAAAUACUCUUUGGAAAGACAUGUUGCAGAAUAAAGUGUUUGGAAAGACAUACUGCAGUUUCCAUCUGCCAGUCCUUGUAAAAUUUUGUUAAACUUGUUUUUUAUUUUCUCAAGAUUUUAAAGAUACUGCUAAUAGAAAACAUUUCUUCUAAAAUGUAAAAAGAUUUAUGAAUGUAAACUGAUGUUGAUAGUUUGUUCUUAAAGGAACUGAACAGUAUCAAGGAGAAAAAUCCUCUGAAAUGUCUGGUAUCAAAUUUAUGGUCUCAGAUAACAGAUGAACAGUAUACAAAAGGCCCAGUGCAUAAAAGGCUUUCCAUUCCCCCAAAUUGGCAAGAAAUUCUUUUGGCUUACCAGGAUUCCAUUUAGCCUGAAAAUUAAAUACAGGUAAAGCAACAUAACAUAUUCCCAUGCUGGAUUUAAUUUAUAGCUAUUAGAAAAGUCUAGUUAGCCAAUUAUUUUAGAAUGACUUCUUUUGAUAUAUGAAUUUUGUUUAGCUUCCAAAUUCUUAGAAAGAGUAUUUAAAUGAUUCAAAUACAAAUUUUUUUAUAACUCACACAAAGUCACAAUUAUGUGGUAAAUGCACCUGCAUGCUUUUAAAAUGUUUCACUAAAGAAUUAUCAUUCAGAUAGCCUUACAUUUUUAUAGUAGAAAAAAGUCUUGCAUUAAAAAUUCAAUUCAGUUUGUUUUUCUUACCAUUUGUUUCAAUGCAUUUUUAGCAGAUCGUUGCAGAACAGUGCAAAUAAACAUAAUGAGAUUUUUUUUCUUCUUAUUUUUCCCAUAGUUUUCAGUUCUCGUUUUUAAAAAGUGACUUAAGGCUGUAUGGAUAAAACUAUGUAUUUUUGUUUGCAGUUAAACCACCAUAGUUAAAUAAUAUCCUUAGUUUGAUGUUUGGCUUGUAGUUACAAAUUUGGUACUGAAUGGACUCUAGAAGUGUGGCUCAUUUCUGAUGAUGACAGAAUUUUUAACCUAUAAUCUACCCUCAACUGAGCAAUAGUCCCCCACUUAAUGACGGCGUUCCCUUCCAGUGACUCCAUCAUAAGUCAGUUCUGAUUGGCUGUUUUAUCAUGUCUGUAAAAUUGUUACCGCAAUAACGUGGAUUGGAGUCUCCUGCCGCAGUAGCCAGUUCUGAGACAGGGUUGAGGUGAGCAGCAAGAGUUUUAUUAUGUAUUGAUAUAUAGGAGACAGAGACAGAGGGGAAUAGAUUCCUCCAAAAAACCUGUCUCCCCCACUGGAGAUGGGCUGAAGGCUUUUAU
Molecule: long non-coding RNA, 7254 nt
Organism: Trichechus manatus latirostris (Florida manatee)
Lineage: Eukaryota; Metazoa; Chordata; Mammalia; Sirenia; Trichechidae
Exons: 3
Source: RefSeq, a predicted model, not a curated record